Molecule: non-coding RNA, 26 nt
Filed under: Homo sapiens (human)
Lineage: Eukaryota; Metazoa; Chordata; Mammalia; Primates; Hominidae
Source: RNAcentral
GAUGGAAGUGGAGGUGUCCAUUGCUC